UAUCGGGGCAGGGUGAGUCGACCCCUAAGGCGAGGCCGAAAGGCGUAGUCGAUGGGAAACAGGUUAAUAUUCCUGUACUUGGUGUUACUGCGAAGGGGGGACGGAGAAGGCUAUGUUGGCCGGGCGACGGUUGUCCCGGUUUAAGCGUGUAGGCUGGUUUUCCAGGCAAAUCCGGAAAAUCAAGGCUGAGGCGUGAUGACGAGGCACUACGGUGCUGAAGCAACAAAUGCCCUGCUUCCAGGAAAAGCCUCUAAGCAUCAGGUAACAUCAAAUCGUACCCCAAACCGACACAGGUGGUCAGGUAGAGAAUACCAAGGCGCUUGAGAGAACUCGGGUGAAGGAACUAGGCAAAAUGGUGCCGUAACUUCGGGAGAAGGCACGCUGAUAUGUAGGUGAGGUCCCUCGCGGAUGGAGCUGAAAUCAGUCGAAGAUACCAGCUGGCUGCAACUGUUUAUUAAAAACACAGCACUGUGCAAACACGAAAGUGGACGUAUACGGUGUGACGCCUGCCCGGUGCCGGAAGGUUAAUUGAUGGGGUUAGCGCAAGCGAAGCUCUUGAUCGAAGCCCCGGUAAACGGCGGCCGUAACGAUAACGGUCCUAAGGUAGCGAAAUUCCUUGUCGGGUAAGUUCCGACCUGCACGAAUGGCGUAAUGAUGGCCAGGCUGUCUCCACCCGAGACUCAGUGAAAUUGAACUCGCUGUGAAGAUGCAGUGUACCCGCGGCAAGACGGAAAGACCCCGUGAACCUUUACUAUAGCUUGACACUGAACAUUGAGCCUUGAUGUGUAGGAUAGGUGGGAGGCUUUGAAGUGUGGACGCCAGUCUGCAUGGAGCCGACCUUGAAAUACCACCCUUUAAUGUUUGAUGUUCUAACGUUGACCCGUAAUCCGGGUUGCGGACAGUGUCUGGUGGGUAGUUUGACUGGGGCGGUCUCCUCCUAAAGAGUAACGGAGGAGCACGAAGGUUGGCUAAUCCUGGUCGGACAUCAGGAGGUUAGUGCAAUGGCAUAAGCCAGCUUGACUGCGAGCGUGACGGCGCGAGCAGGUGCGAAAGCAGGUCAUAGUGAUCCGGUGGUUCUGAAUGGAAGGGCCAUCGCUCAACGGAUAAAAGGUACUCCGGGGAUAACAGGCUGAUACCGCCCAAGAGUUCAUAUCGACGGCGGUGUUUGGCACCUCGAUGUCGGCUCAUCACAUCCUGGGGCUGAAGUAGGUCCCAAGGGUAUGGCUGUUCGCCAUUUAAAGUGGCACGCGAGCUGGGUUUAGAACGUCGUGAGACAGUUCGGUCCCUAUCUGCCGUGGGCGCUGGAGAACUGAGGGGGGCUGCUCCUAGUACGAGAGGACCGGAGUGGACGCAUCACUGGUGUUCGGGUUGUCAUGCCAAUGGCACUGCCCGGUAGCUAAAUGCGGAAGAGAUAAGUGCUGAAAGCAUCUAAGCACGAAACUUGCCCCGAAAUGAGUUCUCCCUGACCCUUUAAGGGUCCUGAAGGAACGUUGAAGACGAUGACGUUGAUAGGCCGGGUGUGUAAGCGCAGCGAUGCGUUGAGCUAACCGGUACUAAUGAACCGUGAGGCUUAACCUC
RNAcentral lists this ribosomal RNA (1578 nucleotides) under metagenome. Its description in RNAcentral is "bacterial LSU rRNA". It matches the Rfam family "Bacterial large subunit ribosomal RNA", at positions 1367 to 2925 of the family's 2925-position model. The record is from RNAcentral.